GGUCUACCUGGAAAUCCAGGGGAAAGAGGACCUCCUGGAAAACCAGUACGUAACUUCAUUUCUAUGUUACAUCCCCAAAAGAUGUCCCACUGUUGUUCUGUUCUCUGUUUUAUCUCAGUUUGCACCUGUAUAUGUCACCUCAAGUCCAAUUCAGUGCUUUUUCCUUGAUGCUCUUAGGAAAAAUACUAAAAACCAUUAAAGUGUUAAGAUAAAAAUAUCUGUGAUGGUUUUGGAACAGUAUGAAAAUAACUGGAUGGCCUGCAUGCAAAUAAAAGACAAAAUUUUUAAGCCAGUUUCUUAACACCACUAAGCAAUACAAUGAGCAAGAAUGUGAGCAAGAAUGCAAAGAGCUCAACUCAUCUCACAUGAUGAAGCGUAUUGAUAAUGUAAAGGAGCAUGUAUGGUUUUGGCCCAAAUUGAAACCAGGGCAUAGGCACGUUCAGAAAAAUUUCUUACUUUGAUGCCUUUUAAAGUUGCCUGAGAUAAUUAAUUUCUCAUUCCACAGGGCUCCUCACCCCUGCUCUCUCCAGAGGACAUCAAUCUCUUAGUAAAGGAUGUGUGCAGUGAGUGCCCUCCUGGCCCACCAGGACUACCAGGCAUUCCAGGCUUCAAAGGUGAUAAAGGUCUCCGAGGACCACCAGGUAGAGAUGGCCAGGAUGGGAAAAUGGGAAAUGCUGGUCCCAGAGGUCCUGCAGGCCCACCUGGGCUGGAUGGUCCAAAGGGUGCUAAAGGAGACCGUGGUACAACUGGGGAUGCAGGAGAAAAAGGAGAACAGGUAAAAAUUGCGUAUGUUUUCCAACAGUGUCAUCACUGUGACUCCUUCUUCGUCAAUAGCUGCUAUAAUGCUGGUAGAGGAACACAUUUCUUAGAGACAGAAGAGGAAGAGGGGAAGAGCUCUCCAUCACUGCUAAACCUCAGAUGGGCUUCCCUUCCCCUUUCCAGCAAAAUAUUUCCCUGUCUAGUUUUGGUGGAUUCCCGAAUGACUCCCAGAUGAUCCUCACCUCUACGUUGGAUACAUUCAGUUCCCUACAGUAGCCAACUUCUGGUCAUUUCCUCAGCUAAUUCCUAGAUGAGAUCUAGGCAAUUAUGUGUCCCUGGGCUGAAAAAGCCAGUGUUGCUAUUUAUCCUGGAAGAAGAGUGUAAGGGUGGCCUCUUUUAGGAGGGAUUGAGAUGCCACAGAAAAGACAAUACUCUAAAUUGGAGCAAACUUUUACACUUUUUUUGCCAAGGGCUGAGUCAGUAGUUUAAGGUGCAAAUCAGCACAUCUUCAAUGAGAUCUGUAGGAUAUUUUAAACAGCAUCGAUUUCCAGCCUGGUUUUGUGCUUUGUCCAGUCCCACAAUGUUUGCUCUCAGCUCCUGUUAACAUACCAUGAAAUACACAUUAGAGAAAGUACACCCUGGACAUAAGUGUAUCUAUUUCUGAAGUGCGUGUUUUGGAAACUAAGGCUUUGAUUUUAAAAGCUGUGGUUCAUUACUUCCUUAUAACUAGCUCCCUGUGUAUUGUCUCAUUUUGAUUUUACCUCCCAGUGCCCAAUGACCAGUUAACUUAUAUACAAUUAGAAAUGUGAAUGAUGUAUAAAAUCUCUCCUUUUGUUUUUCAGGGCCAUCCUGGGAUGCCCGGCUUCGCAGGGGCUCCUGGAAAUCCUGGUCCUCCUGUAAGUUCUUCUGUUGCAAAGCAGAUGGUCUGGUAUUUUCCUUACUAAUAAAGGUAGUUGCAGCAAGGAACGUUCUCA
Molecule: long non-coding RNA, 1733 nt
Filed under: Anser cygnoides (Swan goose)
Lineage: Eukaryota; Metazoa; Chordata; Aves; Anseriformes; Anatidae
Description: lncRNA (ENSACDG00005006810.1)
Source: RNAcentral